UGCAACGAACAGAGGACCAAAACAAUUCAGUCGAAAUAUCAGCCAUACCAUAUCAAUAUACACCUAGCAUUAGUCUAGAGGAUGUGUGUUGAAAGAUUGUAAACUGUUCAAUACAUCUUACAAUUGCUUGAUCCAUGAUGAUUUAAUGGACCAAAAGUUCCAUAAAAUGCACAACAAGUACGAGUAAAGUAUAGCAAUUGAUAAGUCAAUGUGCUUGUACAUGAUAAGUCAAGACAGAGAAGGCAUUACUUGGUACAAGGUAUAUAUAUAAAAUAUUUCCAUAAUAGCUAACCUAACAUUUUUAAAAAAAUCCAAUACGAGUAAAGUAUAGCAAUUGAUAAGUCAAUGUGCUUGUACAUGAUAAGUCAAGACAGAGAAGGCAUUACUUGGUACAAGGUAAAUAUAUAAAAUAUUUCCAUAAUAGCUAACCUAACAUUUUUAAAAAAAUCCAAUCAAAAUCUCAGUAUUCUAAAAUAUUUUUGAGUUAAUCUACAUCUAGCAUUUUCAUUCAUCCUAAAGAUCAUGACUUAGAUGCAAAGAACAUGCAACUUGGUAGCAAUACUAAGCAUUUCCAAUAAUAUAAGAAAAAUUUAAUACUGGAACACAUAUAACUGGCACAAUCAAUUAUGAUUUUCAAUUGUAAUGUAGUAC
Molecule: long non-coding RNA, 651 nt
Filed under: Citrus x clementina
Lineage: Eukaryota; Viridiplantae; Streptophyta; Magnoliopsida; Sapindales; Rutaceae
Description: Citrus clementina (C. clementina) long non-coding RNA (CCLE_LNC000742)
Source: RNAcentral